Molecule: transfer RNA, 79 nt
Filed under: Candidatus Carsonella ruddii PV
Lineage: Bacteria; Pseudomonadati; Pseudomonadota; Gammaproteobacteria; Oceanospirillales; Halomonadaceae
Description: tRNA-Leu-TAG-1-1
Rfam family: tRNA
About the family: Transfer RNA (tRNA) molecules are approximately 80 nucleotides in length.
Source: RNAcentral
ACCGAACUGUUGAAAUGGUAAACAAUCAAGAUUUAGAAUCUUGUGCUAACGCUUAGGAGUUCAAAUCUCCUGUUCGGUA